This 247-nucleotide ribosomal RNA is filed under the name uncultured bacterium. Its description in RNAcentral is "partial 16S ribosomal RNA". It matches the Rfam family "Bacterial small subunit ribosomal RNA", at positions 523 to 769 of the family's 1533-position model. The record is from RNAcentral.
AUACGGGGGGUGCAAGCGUUGUUCGGAAUUACUGGGCGUAAAGGGCGUGUAGGUGGCUAAGUAAGUCAGGUGUGAAAGCCUUCCGCUUAACGGGAGAAGUGCACUUGAAACUGUUUAGCUAGAGUACGAGAGAGGAAGGUGGAAUUCCUGGUGUAGAGGUGAAAUUCAUAGAUAUCGGGAAGAACACCGGUGGCGAAGGCGGCCUUCUGGCUCGAUACUGACGCUGAUACGCGAAAGCGUGGGGAGC